UUUGUCUGCUUUGAGUGUCUUGUCAACAAAUGCACGAGUACUACCAAGAUACAGAUUUUAUGACAGUUGUUACAGACAAUAUCGUUUCUUGACUUUAGGGGGACCCCGCGAAUAAAAGUUCC
Long non-coding RNA from Sphaeramia orbicularis (orbiculate cardinalfish), 122 nucleotides. RefSeq lists it as uncharacterized. The record is from RefSeq and is a predicted model, not a curated record. The transcript has 3 exons. NCBI's taxonomy places the organism in Eukaryota, Metazoa, Chordata, Actinopteri, Kurtiformes, Apogonidae.